RNAcentral lists this ribosomal RNA (532 nucleotides) under uncultured cyanobacterium. RNAcentral describes it as "bacterial SSU rRNA". It matches the Rfam family "Bacterial small subunit ribosomal RNA", at positions 232 to 756 of the family's 1533-position model. Lineage: Bacteria; Bacillati; Cyanobacteriota. The record is from RNAcentral.
CGCGGCCUAUCAGCUUGUUGGUGAGGUAAUGGCUCACCAAGGCUAUGACGGGUAGCUGGUCUGAGAGGACGAUCAGUAACACUGGAACUGAGACACGGUCCAGACACCUACGGGUGGCAGCAGUCGAGAAUCAUUCACAAUGGGGGCAACCCUGAUGGUGCAACGCCGCGUGGAGGAUGAAGGCCCUAGGGUCGUAAACUCCUGUCAUAUGAGAGUAAGGCAUAUGUGUUAAUACCAUGUAUGUUUGAUAGUAUCAUAAGAGGAAGGGACGGCUAACUUCGUGCCAGCAGCCGCGGUAAUACGAAGGUCCCGAGCGUUAUUCGGAAUCACUGGGCGUAAAGAGUACGUAGGCGGUUUGGUAAGUCAGGUGUGAAAUCCCGGAGCUCAACUCCGGAACUGCAUCCGAUACUGCUAGACUUGAGUAAUGGAGGGGCAGGUGGAAUUCUCGGUGUAGCAGUGAAAUGCGUGGAUAUCGAGAGGAAGACCAAUGGCGAAGGCAGCCUGCUGGACAUUUACUGACGCUGAGGUACGA